UGAGGAAUAUUGGACAAUGGGCGAAGGCCUGAUCCAGCCAUGUCGCGUGCAGGAAGAAUGUCCUAUGGACUGUAAACUGCUUUUGUACGGGAAGAACCGGGGGCACGCGUGCCCCCCUGACGGUACCGUAAGAAUAAGGAUCGGCUAACUCCGUGCCAGCAGCCGCGGUAAUACGGAGGAUCCGAGCGUUAUCCGGAAUCAUUGGGUUUAAAGGGUCCGUAGGCGGGCCGUUAAGUCAGGGGUGAAAUUCUACGGCUCAACCGUAGGACUGCCGUUGAUACUGGCGGUCUUGAGUUAUGGUGAAGCGGCCGGAAUAUGUGGUGUAGCGGUGAAAUGCAUAGAUAUCACAUGGAAUACCGAUUGCGAAGGCAGGCCGCUAACCACAUACUGACGCUGAUGGACGAAAGCGUGGGUAGCGAACAGG
Molecule: ribosomal RNA, 424 nt
Filed under: uncultured prokaryote
Also listed under: 1 other name
Description: bacterial SSU rRNA
Rfam family: Bacterial small subunit ribosomal RNA
Source: RNAcentral